Molecule: long non-coding RNA, 862 nt
Organism: Lactuca sativa (garden lettuce)
Lineage: Eukaryota; Viridiplantae; Streptophyta; Magnoliopsida; Asterales; Asteraceae
Source: RefSeq, a predicted model, not a curated record
AAAUUCCUACGAUUUCCAUAUGCUACCGAUUUGCUACGCCUCCUAAAACCCAAAUUGUUUCCCGCUUCACUAUUCGUAACUAGCUCGUCGCAAACAAAGCCCUAGCUUACACCAGCGAUUGGCAAUUUCCGAACCAGCACACAUCCGCCGGUGAUUCUCGACUGAUACGUACAUCGGCGACAUUUUUUGGUUUGCCAACCAACCAUCGUUGUCGCACACCACCGCCGACGCUGCCCCGUAUCACCACCGUCGCUGCACCAUACCACCACCGUCGCUGCCCCACACUACCAGCGGCGACACCCCAGCACACAUCCACCGGUGAUUCUCGACUGAUUUCAAGCAACCAAUUCGAGUUUUGUGAUUUCCGAACUCUGAUUUCAGCUCAUAUCGGCGACCCACAUUGACCAAAACGGUUGUAGGUUUGCCCUCCAACGUCGCUGUCGCACACCACCGCCGAUGUUGCCCCGUACCACCACCAUCGCUGCACCAUACUACAACCGUCACUGCUCACACCACCAUCAGCGACACCCCAGGUAAAUGAGUUGCGACAACAAGUGUCAAACAUGCAACAAGCCAUGGAUGAAAAGCAAAGUGAAAUGAAUUUGCAAAUGCAACAAAUGCGAAAUGAAAUGGAAUUGCAAGUGCAAUGACAAUUGGCAGCCUUUAUGAAACAAAUCAAUCCGUCCGGUAAUCCACCAAGUAGUUCUUAGUUUUUGUUUUAGAACACUAAAUUAAUGUUAUGUUAUUGACUAAUUCGUAGCUUUUGUCAUGGUAUUGUAAUGGUAUUUGAAUGUAUGAAUGGUAUGUUAAUGACUAUUUUAAUUGUAAUGAAUGUAAUGGUAUUUGACUAUUAUUUUAAUUA